This 279-nucleotide ribosomal RNA is filed under the name uncultured bacterium. RNAcentral's name for it is "partial 16S ribosomal RNA". It matches the Rfam family "Bacterial small subunit ribosomal RNA", at positions 506 to 784 of the family's 1533-position model. The record is from RNAcentral.
UGCCAGCAGCCGCGGUAAUACGGAGGGUCCAAGCGUUAUCCGGAUUUAUUGGGUUUAAAGGGUGCGCAGGCGGAACUUUAAGUCAGUGGUGAAAUCUUGCCGCUUAACGGUAAAAUUGCCAUUGAAACUGAAGUUCUUGAGUAUGGUUGAGGUAGGCGGAAUGUGUUGUGUAGCGGUGAAAUGUAUAGAUAUGACACAGAACGCCGAUUGCGAAGGCAGCUUACUAAGCCAUUACUGACGCUAAGGCACGAAAGCGUGGGGAGCGAACAGGAUUAGAUA